This 445-nucleotide ribosomal RNA is filed under the name uncultured bacterium. RNAcentral describes it as "bacterial SSU rRNA". It matches the Rfam family "Bacterial small subunit ribosomal RNA", at positions 331 to 793 of the family's 1533-position model. The record is from RNAcentral.
CCAGACUCCUACGGGAGGCAGCAGUGGGGAAUAUUGCACAAUGGGGGGAACCCUGAUGCAGCGACGCCGCGUGAGCGAUGAAGUAUUUCGGUAUGUAAAGCUCUAUCAGCAGGGAAGAAGAUGACGGUACCUGACUAAGAAGCCCCGGCUAACUACGUGCCAGCAGCCGCGGUAAUACGUAGGGGGCAAGCGUUAUCCGGAUUUACUGGGUGUAAAGGGAGCGUAGACGGCGAUGCAAGCCAGAUGUGAAAGCCCGGGGCUCAACCCCGGGACUGCAUUUGGAACUGUGUGGCUGGAGUGCAGGAGGGGCAGGCGGAAUUCCUGGUGUAGCGGUGAAAUGCGUAGAUAUCAGGAGGAACACCGGUGGCGAAGGCGGCCUGCUGGACUGCAACUGACGUUGAGGCCCGAAAGCGUGGGGAGCAAACAGGAUUAGAUACCCUCGUAG